Molecule: ribosomal RNA, 457 nt
Filed under: uncultured bacterium
Lineage: Bacteria
Description: bacterial SSU rRNA
Rfam family: Bacterial small subunit ribosomal RNA
Source: RNAcentral
GACGAACGCUGGCGGCGUGCUUAACACAUGCAAGUCGAACGGUGACGGAGGAGCUUGCUUCUCUUGAUCAGUGGCGAACGGGUGAGUAACACGUGAGUAACCUGCCCUUGACUCUGGGAUAAGCGUUGGAAACGACGUCUAAUACCGGAUACGAGACGCGAUCGCAUGGUCUGCGUCUGGAAAGUUUUUCGGUCAAGGAUGGACUCGCGGCCUAUCAGCUUGUUGGUGAGGUAAUGGCUCACCAAGGCGUCGACGGGUAGCCGGCCUGAGAGGGCGACCGGCCACACUGGGACUGAGACACGGCCCAGACUCCUACGGGAGGCAGCAGUGGGGAAUAUUGCGCAAUGGGCGAAAGCCUGAUGCAGCGACGCCGCGUGAGGGAUGAAGGCCUUCGGGUUGUAAACCUCUUUCAGUAGGGAAGAAGCGAAAGUGACGGUACCUGCAGAAGAAGCACCGG